CCUACGGGUGGCAGCAGUGGGGAAUAUUGCACAAUGGGGGAAACCCUGAUGCUGCGACGCCGCGUGAGUGAAUAAGUAUUUCGGUAUGUAAAGCUCUAUCAGCAGGGAAGAAAAUGACGGUACCUGAUCAAGAAGCCCCGGCUAACUACGUGCCAGCAGCCGCGGUAAUACGUAGGGGGCAAGCGGUAUCCGGAUUUACUGUGUGUAAAGGGAGCGUAGACGGCAGCACAAGUCUGGAGUGAAAUGCCGGGGCUGAACCCCGGAACUGCGUUGGAAACUGUGCAGCGAGAGUGCAGGAGAGGUAAGUGGAAUUCCUGGUGUAGCGGUGAAAUGCGUAGAUAGUAGGAGGAACACCAGUGGCGAAGGCGGAGUACUGGACGAUAACUGACGGUGAGGCGCGAAAGCGUGGGGAGCAAACAGGAUUAGAUACCCGUGUAGUC
Molecule: ribosomal RNA, 440 nt
Filed under: uncultured bacterium
Lineage: Bacteria
Description: partial 16S ribosomal RNA
Rfam family: Bacterial small subunit ribosomal RNA
Source: RNAcentral